This 253-nucleotide ribosomal RNA is filed under the name uncultured bacterium. RNAcentral describes it as "partial 16S ribosomal RNA". It matches the Rfam family "Bacterial small subunit ribosomal RNA", at positions 524 to 776 of the family's 1533-position model. The record is from RNAcentral.
UACGAAGGGGGCGAGCGUUGUUCGGAAUUACUGGGCGUAAAGGGCGCGCAGGCGGCCUUUGAAGUCAGGUGUGAAAGCCCCGGGCUCAACCUGGGAGGUGCACUUGAUACUCGAAGGCUUGAGUACGGGAGAGGAGAGUGGAAUUCCCAGUGUAGAGGUGAAAUUCGUAGAUAUUGGGAAGAACACCGGUGGCGAAGGCGGCUCUCUGGACCGUAACUGACGCUGAGGCGCGAAAGCGUGGGGAGCAAACAGG